UCCGGUUUGUCACCGGCAGUCUCAUUAGAGUGCCCUUGCGUAGCAACUAAUGAUAAGGGUUGCGCUCGUUGCGGGACUUAACCCAACAUCUCACGACACGAGCUGACGACAGCCAUGCAGCACCUGUGUGGAAGCCAGCCAAACUGAAGAAUAACUUUUCUGCUAUUCAUACUUCCCAUGUCAAGGCCUGGUAAGGUUCUUCGCGUUGCCUCGAAUUAAACCACAUGCUCCACCGCUUGUGCGGGUCCCCGUCAAUUCCUUUGAGUUUUAAUCUUGCGACCGUACUCCCCAGGCGGAGUGCUUAAUGCGUUAGCGGCGCCACUGAACCCUACGGGCCCAACGGCUAGCACUCAUCGUUUACGGCGUGGACUAC
This 373-nucleotide unclassified non-coding RNA is filed under the name uncultured Pseudomonadota bacterium. RNAcentral describes it as "uncultured proteobacterium contains 16S-23S intergenic spacer region". The record is from RNAcentral. Lineage: Bacteria; Pseudomonadati; Pseudomonadota.